Molecule: ribosomal RNA, 253 nt
Filed under: uncultured bacterium
Lineage: Bacteria
Description: partial 16S ribosomal RNA
Rfam family: Bacterial small subunit ribosomal RNA
Source: RNAcentral
GACGUAGGGCGCGAGCGUUGUCCGGAAUUAUUGGGUGUAAAGAGCUCGUAGGCGGUUUGUCGCGUCUGCUGUGAAAACUGGAGGCUCAACCUCCAGCCUGCAGUGGGUACGGGCAGACUAGAGUGCGGUAGGGGAGAUUGGAAUUCCUGGUGUAGCGGUGGAAUGCGCAGAUAUCAGGAGGAACACCGGUGGCGAAGGCGGGUCUCUGGGCAAUAACUGACGCUGAGGAGCGAAAGCGUGGGGAGCGAACAGG